UAGUGUCAUUGGGUACGCACAGAAA
This 25-nucleotide non-coding RNA is filed under the name Rattus norvegicus (Norway rat). Lineage: Eukaryota; Metazoa; Chordata; Mammalia; Rodentia; Muridae. The record is from RNAcentral.